Molecule: small nucleolar RNA, 81 nt
Organism: Prosopis cineraria
Lineage: Eukaryota; Viridiplantae; Streptophyta; Magnoliopsida; Fabales; Fabaceae
Product: small nucleolar RNA Z199
Exons: 1
Source: RefSeq, a predicted model, not a curated record
GAAUCAAGUGAUGAUUAAAAAUACUGCAACAAAAUGAUAGAUUUGAUUGUAUGAUUGCUGGUAUUUAAGUUGCUGAUGAUU